CCUACGGGAGGCAGCAGUAGGGAAUAUUGCGCAAUGGAGGGAACUCUGACGCAGCGACGCCGCGUGAGCGAUGAAGGUUUUCGGAUCGUAAAGCUCUGUCCUUGGGGAAGAAGGGAGUCGAAAGACGCCUUGACGGUACCCAUGGAGGAAGCCCCGGCUAACUACGUGCCAGCAGCCGCGGUAAUACGUAGGGGGCAAGCGUUGUCCGGAAUUAUUGGGCGUAAAGGGUGCGUAGGCGGCCCUUUAAGUCAGAUGUGAAAGCCCACGGCUUAACCGUGGGAUUGCAUUUGAAACUGGAGGGCUUGAGUGUCGGAGAGGGUAGUGGAAUUCCCAGUGUAGCGGUGGAAUGCGUAGAUAUUGGGAGGAACACCAGUGGCGAAGGCGACUGCCUGGACGAUAACUGACGCUGAGGCACGAAAGCUAGGGGAGCAAACAGGAUUAGAUACCCCAGUAGUC
RNAcentral lists this ribosomal RNA (456 nucleotides) under uncultured Eubacteriales bacterium. RNAcentral describes it as "bacterial SSU rRNA". It matches the Rfam family "Bacterial small subunit ribosomal RNA", at positions 338 to 795 of the family's 1533-position model. Lineage: Bacteria; Bacillati; Bacillota; Clostridia; Eubacteriales. The record is from RNAcentral.